GAUGAACGCUGGCGGCGUGCCUAAUACAUGCAAGUCGAGCGAACAGACGAGGAGCUUGCUCCUCUGACGUUAGCGGCGGACGGGUGAGUAACACGUGGAUAACCUACCUAUAAGACUGGGAUAACUUCGGGAAACCGGAGCUAAUACCGGAUAAUAUAUUGAACCGCAUGGUUCAAUAGUGAAAGACGGUUUUGCUGUCACUUAUAGAUGGAUCCGCGCCGCAUUAGCUAGUUGGUAAGGUAACGGCUUACCAAGGCAACGAUGCGUAGCCGACCUGAGAGGGUGAUCGGCCACCCUGGAACUGAGACACGGUCCAGACUCCUACGGGAGGCAGCAGUAGGGAAUCUUCCGCAAUGGGCGAAAGCCUGACGGAGCAACGCCGAGUGAGUGAUGAAGGUCUUCGGAUCGUAAAACUCUGUUAUUAGGGAAGAACAAAUGUGUAAGUAACUAUGCACGUCUUGACGGUACCUAAUCAGAAAGCCACGGCUAACUACGUG
RNAcentral lists this ribosomal RNA (497 nucleotides) under uncultured bacterium. Its description in RNAcentral is "partial 16S ribosomal RNA". It matches the Rfam family "Bacterial small subunit ribosomal RNA", at positions 28 to 507 of the family's 1533-position model. The record is from RNAcentral.